AGAGUUUGAUCAUGGCUCAGAUUGAACGCUGGCGGCAGGCCUAACACAUGCAAGUCGAGCGGUAGCACAGAGAGCUUGCUCUCGGGUGACGAGCGGCGGACGGGUGAGUAAUGUCUGGGAAACUGCCUGAUGGAGGGGGAUAACUACUGGAAACGGUAGCUAAUACCGCAUAACGUCGCAAGACCAAAGUGGGGGACCUUCGGGCCUCAUGCCAUCAGAUGUGCCCAGAUGGGAUUAGCUAGUAGGUGGGGUAACGGCUCACCUAGGCGACGAUCCCUAGCUGGUCUGAGAGGAUGACCAGCCACACUGGAACUGAGACACGGUCCAGACUCCUACGGGAGGCAGCAGUGGGGAAUAUUGCACAAUGGGCGCAAGCCUGAUGCAGCCAUGCCGCGUGUGUGAAGAAGGCCUUCGGGUUGUAAAGCACUUUCAGCGGGGAGGAAGGCGAUAAGGUUAAUAACCUUGUCGAUUGACGUUACCCGCAGAAGAAGCACCGGCUAACUCCGUGCCAGCAGCCGCGGUAAUACGGAGGGUGCAAGCGUUAAUCGGAAUUACUGGGCGUAAAGCGCACGCAGGCGGUCUGUCAAGUCGGAUGUGAAAUCCCCGGGCUCAACCUGGGAACUGCAUUCGAAACUGGCAGGCUAGAGUCUUGUAGAGGGGGGUAGAAUUCCAGGUGUAGCGGUGAAAUGCGUAGAGAUCUGGAGGAAUACCGGUGGCGAAGGCGGCCCCCUGGACAAAGACUGACGCUCAGGUGCGAAAGCGUGGGGAGCAAACAGGAUUAGAUACCCUGGUAGUCCACGCCGUAAACGAUGUCGAUUUGGAGGUUGUGCCCUUGAGGCGUGGCUUCCGGAGCUAACGCGUUAAAUCGACCGCCUGGGGAGUACGGCCGCAAGGUUAAAACUCAAAUGAAUUGACGGGGGCCCGCACAAGCGGUGGAGCAUGUGGUUUAAUUCGAUGCAACGCGAAGAACCUUACCUGGUCUUGACAUCCACAGAACUUUCCAGAGAUGGAUUGGUGCCUUCGGGAACUGUGAGACAGGUGCUGCAUGGCUGUCGUCAGCUCGUGUUGUGAAAUGUUGGGUUAAGUCCCGCAACGAGCGCAACCCUUAUCCUUUGUUGCCAGCGGUCCGGCCGGGAACUCAAAGGAGACUGCCAGUGAUAAACUGGAGGAAGGUGGGGAUGACGUCAAGUCAUCAUGGCCCUUACGACCAGGGCUACACACGUGCUACAAUGGCAUAUACAAAGAGAAGCGACCUCGCGAGAGCAAGCGGACCUCAUAAAGUAUGUCGUAGUCCGGAUUGGAGUCUGCAACUCGACUCCAUGAAGUCGGAAUCGCUAGUAAUCGUAGAUCAGA
This 1353-nucleotide ribosomal RNA is filed under the name Klebsiella pneumoniae UCI 38. RNAcentral's name for it is "bacterial SSU rRNA". It matches the Rfam family "Bacterial small subunit ribosomal RNA", at positions 8 to 1353 of the family's 1533-position model. The record is from RNAcentral. Lineage: Bacteria; Pseudomonadati; Pseudomonadota; Gammaproteobacteria; Enterobacterales; Enterobacteriaceae.